GACGAACCGUGCGAACGUUGUUCGGAAUCACUGGGCUUAAAGGGUGCGUAGGCGGCGCGGUAAGUCGGGUGUGAAAUCUCGGAGCUUAACUCCGAAACUGCAUUCGAUACUGCCGUGCUUGAGGACUGGAGAGGAGACUGGAAUUUACGGUGUAGCGGUGAAAUGCGUAGAUAUCGUAAGGAAGACCAGUGGCGAAGGCGGGUCUCUGGACAGUUCCUGACGCUGAGGCACGAAGGCCAGGGGAGCAAACGGG
Molecule: ribosomal RNA, 253 nt
Filed under: uncultured bacterium
Lineage: Bacteria
Description: partial 16S ribosomal RNA
Rfam family: Bacterial small subunit ribosomal RNA
Source: RNAcentral